Molecule: long non-coding RNA, 522 nt
Organism: Patella vulgata (common limpet)
Lineage: Eukaryota; Metazoa; Mollusca; Gastropoda; Patellidae
Exons: 4
Source: RefSeq, a predicted model, not a curated record
CAGAAUGUAUGUCGUUAAAUACUAUCGGGAGUUUUAAUCAUUUCUAGAUUUUACAAACAACCACAUUCAUAAAGAUGAAAGUUUUAGCAGUUCUUGUUUUAGUUGUGGUGGGAGUUUACUGCGAAGAGACAUGUUUAAGAGCAUGUCAGUUAAUCAAUGACCCGGUUUGUGCUACCUAUACGAAGACAUAUGGCAAUGAAUGUAUGAUGAAAGCCGAUGCUUGCGAAAUGGCUAAGAAGGGUUUCAGUCUAGUGAAACAACCUGCUGUUGGAGAAUGUAGUUGUCUACGUGCCUGUACGUUUAUCUACAAACCAGUCUGUGCUAAUGAUGGCAAUACAUACAACUCAGAAUGUCUCAUGGGAUCCGAAUCUUGCAGACAAGGUAAAUUCUUGGAAGUUGUACAUGAAGGAGAAUGUAAAUAAACCAGAAUGAUUUAUGAUUUAGUUACAGGAAUUGUAAUUUUGAAUUAUGAACAAUCAACCCCAAUGUCUUUUAUAAAUGUACUAAUGUUAAUCAGGUAAU